GGGCCGCUAGCUCAGUCGGUAGAGCAUCAGACUUUUAAUCUGAGGGUCCAGGGUUCGACUCCCUGGCGGCUCA
RNAcentral lists this transfer RNA (73 nucleotides) under Deltaproteobacteria bacterium. RNAcentral's name for it is "tRNA-Lys". It matches the Rfam family "tRNA". From Rfam's summary of the family: Transfer RNA (tRNA) molecules are approximately 80 nucleotides in length. Their secondary structure includes four short double-helical elements and three loops (D, anti-codon, and T loops). The record is from RNAcentral. RNAcentral also lists the same sequence under 1 other name. Lineage: Bacteria; Pseudomonadati; Myxococcota; Myxococcia.